RNAcentral lists this ribosomal RNA (1123 nucleotides) under uncultured bacterium. Its description in RNAcentral is "bacterial SSU rRNA". It matches the Rfam family "Bacterial small subunit ribosomal RNA", at positions 47 to 1162 of the family's 1533-position model. The record is from RNAcentral.
AUUGAUUUUAUGCUUGCAUAAAUGAUUUUUGGAUUCGGAGCGAGUGGCGAACUGGUGAGUAACACGUGGGCAACCUGCCCCGAAGCGGGGGAUAACAUUUGGAAACAAGUGCUAAUACCGCAUAAUUAGUUGGAACCGCAUGGUUCCAACUUGAAAGAUGGCUCUGCUAUCACUUUGGGAUGGACCCGCGCCGUAUUAGUUAGUUGGUGAGAUAAAAGCCCACCAAGACGAUGAUACGUAGCCGACCUGAGAGGGUAAUCGGCCACAUUGGGACUGAGACACGGCCCAGACUCCUACGGGAGGCAGCAGUAGGGAAUCUUCCACAAUGGACGAAAGUCUGAUGGAGCAACGCCGCGUGAGUGAUGAAGGUUUUCGGAUCGUAAAACUCUGUUGUUAAAGAAGAACAAGUGUUAGAGUAACUGUUAACACUUUGACGGUAUUUAACCAGAAAGCCACGGCUAACUACGUGCCAGCAGCCGCGGUAAUACGUAGGUGGCAAGCGUUGUCCGGAUUUAUUGGGCGUAAAGCGAGCGCAGGCGGUUUUGUAAGUCUGCUGUGAAAGCCCUCAGCUCAACUGAGGAAGUGCAGUGGAAACUACAAAACUUGAGUACAGAAGAGGAAAGUGGAACUCCAUGUGUAGCGGUGAAAUGCGUAGAUAUAUGGAAGAACACCAGUGGCGAAGGCGGCUUUCUGGUCUGUUACUGACGCUGAGGCUCGAAAGCAUGGGUAGCGAACAGGAUUAGAUACCCUGGUAGUCCAUGCCGUAAACGAUGAAUACUAGGUGUUGGAGGGUUUCCGCCCUUCAGUGCCGCAGCUAACGCAUUAAGUAUUCCGCCUGGGGAGUACGACCGCAAGGUUGAAACUCAAAGGAAUUGACGGGGGCCCGCACAAGUGGUGGAGCAUGUGGUUUAAUUCGAUGCUACGCGAAGAACCUUACCAGCUCUUGACAUCUUCGGCCAACCCAAGAGAUUGGGCGUUCCCUUCGGGGACAGAAUGACAGGUGGUGCAUGGUUGUCGUCAGCUCGUGUCGUGAGAUGUUGGGUUAAGUCCCGCAACGAGCGCAACCCUUAUUAUUAGUUGCCAGCAUUUAGUUGGGCACUCUAGUGAGACUGCCGGUGAUAAA